AAAGGCCUCAGGAAUAGAGGACUCAGAGGCUCCAGGAAAAGAAGGACGCUUGGGGAAUCCAGACGAUGACAAGAAGAAGCCUUGCAAUCACUUGGGAAUGCACAGAGAGACAUCCUAGGAUCAAAACUGCCUGGACCCCCUGGCUGGCUGGGAAAGAAACUCUGCCCUCUCCUCUCCCGGCUUCCCCAAAUUUUCGCAUAAUGUUGCCAAGCAUUAGUCCAGCGUGGAGGCUACUUUCUGCUCAAACCACUCAUUUGGGUCCCGCGCCCAACAUCACCUAUCCUCAGUAAAACAACCUUUACUUCCUUCUUCCUGGUUUCCAGAAAGUUCCCCUAAAGCCCUGAGGAAUCACCGAAUGAAAGGGGCUUUUUACAAACAGGAAACUUAAGUGGAGUGCCAAUACACAACAUGGAUUGCACCAGGCUAGGUCUAAGAUAAAACCAGACUGUGGACAACAGGACAGACAAGACCCACAUGGCUCUGCACUGCCUGGGUCUGUUAUUGUGUGGAAGAAUGUCUUAGUCUGUUGCUCCUGUGGAUGUAGCUAAAGCACGAACCAGGAGUUUUCAUCCUUUUUUUU
This 580-nucleotide long non-coding RNA is filed under the name Homo sapiens (human). Its description in RNAcentral is "HSALNT0056362". Lineage: Eukaryota; Metazoa; Chordata; Mammalia; Primates; Hominidae. The record is from RNAcentral.